Molecule: ribosomal RNA, 301 nt
Filed under: uncultured bacterium
Lineage: Bacteria
Description: partial 16S ribosomal RNA
Rfam family: Bacterial small subunit ribosomal RNA
Source: RNAcentral
CAGUCGCCGCGGGAAUACGUAGGGUGCAAGCGUUAAUCGGAAUUACUGGGCGUAAAGCGUGCGCAGGCGGUUCGCUAAGACAGAUGUGAAAUCCCCGGGCUUAACCUGGGAACUGCAUUUGUGACUGGCGGGCUAGAGUAUGGCAGAGGGGGGUAGAAUUCCACGUGUAGCAGUGAAAUGCGUAGAGAUGUGGAGGAAUACCGAUGGCGAAGGCAGCCCCCUGGGCCAAUACUGACGCUCAUGCACGAAAGCGUGGGGAGCAAACAGGAUUAGAUACCCCGGUAGUCCCUGUCUCUUAUAA